AGAGUUUGAUCCUGGCUCAGGACGAACGCUGGCGGCGUGCUUAACACAUGCAAGUCGAGCGAGGCCCACACCUUCGGGUGUGGUGCCCUAGCGGCGAACGGGUGAGUAACACGUGGGCAACCUGCCCCUAGCACUGGGAUAAGCCCGGGAAACCGGGUCUAAUACCGGAUAUGACAUCGGAGGGCAUCCUCCGGCGUGGAAAGGAUUCUGGCUAGGGAUGGGCCCGCGGCCUAUCAGCUUGUUGGUGGGGUGAUGGCCCACCAAGGCGACGACGGGUAGCCGGCCUGAGAGGGCGACCGGCCACACUGGGACUGAGACACGGCCCAGACUCCUACGGGAGGCAGCAGUGGGGAAUAUUGCACAAUGGGCGAAAGCCUGAUGCAGCGACGCCGCGUGAGGGAUGACGGCCUUCGGGUUGUAAACCUCUUUCAGCUCCGACGAAGCGAAAGUGACGGUAGGGGCAGAAGAAGCACCGGCCAACUACGUGCCAGCAGCCGCGGUA
Molecule: ribosomal RNA, 502 nt
Filed under: uncultured Actinomycetes bacterium
Lineage: Bacteria; Bacillati; Actinomycetota; Actinomycetes
Description: bacterial SSU rRNA
Rfam family: Bacterial small subunit ribosomal RNA
Source: RNAcentral